This 450-nucleotide ribosomal RNA is filed under the name Desmoscolecidae sp. 838_4-1000_Q. RNAcentral describes it as "eukaryotic LSU rRNA". It matches the Rfam family "Eukaryotic large subunit ribosomal RNA", at positions 392 to 845 of the family's 3401-position model. Lineage: Eukaryota; Metazoa; Nematoda; Chromadorea; Desmoscolecida; Desmoscolecidae. The record is from RNAcentral.
AGAGGGCGUGAAACUGCAUAGAAGGAAACGUGAGGUGCUCUAUUUUCUUCCAUUGUUCAGCCGUUUUUACGGUGCAUUCAUUGGGAGAGGCAUUGGAACUGAUGAGAGCAGUUGGUGUGGCUUUUUGUUGGUCGCUGCCUAAUCGUAGUGGUCGCCAGAUGCCUCGCCCUCUAUUCUUAUUGGUUUGUAGGCUUUAUUUUCAUUUAUGACAGAGGCCUUUCCAGUGUAAAAUAGGGUUUACUUCUCGACCCGUCUUGAAACACGGACCAAGGAGUCUAACAUGUGCGCGAGUCAAUGAAUUUGAAAUUCAGUGGCACAAUGAAAGUAAAUGUAUUCAUUAUUUGGAGUUAUAUUCAAUGCAGUGAAGUCCCAUCCGUGAUGCUUGUCAUCGGGGUGGAGAAAGAGCGUAUUUGUUGGGACCCGAAAGAUGGUGAACUAUGCCUGAACAGG